CAGCCGCCACGGUAAUACGUAGGGUGCAAGCGUUGUCCGGAAUCAUUGGGCGUAAAGCGCGCGUAGGUGGCCAUUUAAGUCCGCUGUGAAGGUCAAAGGCUCAACCUUUGAAAGCCGGUGGAUACUGGAUGGCUAGAGUACGGAAGAGGCGAGUGGAAUUCCUGGUGUAGCGGUGGAAUGCGCAGAUAUCAGGAGGAACACCAAUAGCGAAGGCAGCUCGCUGGGACGUUACUGACACUGAGGCGCGAAAGCGUGGGGAGCGAACAGGAUUAGAUACCCCGGUAGUCCCUGUCUCUUAUAC
Molecule: ribosomal RNA, 301 nt
Filed under: uncultured bacterium
Lineage: Bacteria
Description: partial 16S ribosomal RNA
Rfam family: Bacterial small subunit ribosomal RNA
Source: RNAcentral